AAAGGAAUAGACGGGGGAGCGCACAACCGGUGGAGCAUGUGGUUUAAUUCGAUACGAAGCGAAAAACCUUACCUGGGCUUGACAUGUACCUGCUAAUCCUAUGAAAGUAGGACUCCUUCGAGGGUGGUACACAGGUGCUGCAUGGUUGUCGUCAGCUCGUGUCGUGAGAUGUCCGCUUAAGUGCGGUAACGAGCGCAACCCCUAUCGUAUGUUGCAUUUCAUGCGAAACUGCCGUGCAGCAAGCGCGGAGGAAGGAGGGGACGACGUCAAAUCAGCAUGGCCCUUACGCCCAGGGCUACACACAUCCUACAAUGGAAAGGACAAUAGGCUGCAAUGGAGCAAUCCGGAGCUAAUCCUUAAACCUUUCCUCAGUUCAGAUUGCAGGCUGAAACCCGCCUGCAUGAAGUUGGAAUCGGUAGUAAUCGCAGGUCAGCAGACUGCGGUGAAUACGUUCUCGCUCCUUGUACACACCGCCCGU
RNAcentral lists this ribosomal RNA (478 nucleotides) under uncultured bacterium. Its description in RNAcentral is "bacterial SSU rRNA". It matches the Rfam family "Bacterial small subunit ribosomal RNA", at positions 903 to 1397 of the family's 1533-position model. The record is from RNAcentral.